GUCUACGGCCAUACCACCCUGAACACGCCCGAUCUCGUCUGAUCUCGGAAGCUAAGCAGAGUCGGGCCUGGUUAGUACUUGGAUGGGAGAUCCUUGAUCAUAUGUCACUUUCUCAAUGAAGUCCUCUGAGCUCAGACC
This 138-nucleotide ribosomal RNA is filed under the name Neogale vison (American mink). The record is from RNAcentral. Lineage: Eukaryota; Metazoa; Chordata; Mammalia; Carnivora; Mustelidae.